This 281-nucleotide non-coding RNA is filed under the name Maledivibacter halophilus. RNAcentral describes it as "Clostridium halophilum T-box sequence". It matches the Rfam family "T-box leader". Rfam says of the family: Uncharged tRNA acts as the effector for transcription antitermination of genes in the T-box leader family. T-boxes are found upstream of many aminoacyl-tRNA synthetase genes and some amino acid biosynthetic genes usually in Gram-positive bacteria. The record is from RNAcentral. Lineage: Bacteria; Bacillati; Bacillota; Clostridia; Peptostreptococcales; Caminicellaceae.
GUUUUUGCUUUGAAGGAGAACAGUAAUUUAUACCUGAUCUACAGAGAGAAAGUACAAAGGGUUUAUUUUAUUUACCCUGGGCUGAAAGACUUUUGUUUAAGGAUAUAUGAAGCAGCUCCGGAGCUUUAACUUUGAAAAAUAUACUUUUAAGUAUAAUUAGAGGUUAACGGUUUGCAUACGUUAAAAUGCAUUUUAUUAAGAGAUUACUUUUAUAGAUAGUUUUAAGCGUAUCUAUUAAGUAAUAACUAGGGUGGUACCGCGGGCAAACUCUCGUCCCUAUA